CAAAAUAUGCUCGAGGAGAUUGUCUGGCCGCAGUUGGGAGACGUUUGGCUGCAAUUUCAGAGAAAUUCAACAUCCCUGUUGAGUUUCAUUCUAUUCCAGUUUAUGCUCCAGAAGUCACAAGGGACAUGCUUGAUGUUCGACACGGAGAGGCACUGGCCGUGAAUUUCCCUUUGCAGCUCCACCACACUCCUGAUGAAAGCGUUGAUGUAUCCAAUCCGAGAGACAAACUUCUGAGGAUGGUGAAAUCACUCUCUCCCAAGGUGGUCACUCUAGUGGAGCAAGAAUCAAACACAAAUACUGCGCCUUUUGUUCCAAGGUUCAUUGAAACUUUAGAAUACUAUUUGGCUAUGUUCGAGUCAAUAGAUGUCACGAUGCCCAGAGACCGGAAGGAGCGCAUUAAUGUGGAGAAGCACUGUUUGGCUAGAGAUAUUGUGAACAUUAUAGCCUGCGAAGGCAAGGAGAGAGUGGAACGUCACGAGCUCCUUGGCAAGUGGAGAUUGAGG
This 503-nucleotide long non-coding RNA is filed under the name Olea europaea (common olive). RNAcentral describes it as "long non-coding RNA (OEUR_LNC002026)". The record is from RNAcentral. Lineage: Eukaryota; Viridiplantae; Streptophyta; Magnoliopsida; Lamiales; Oleaceae.